UGCAUCCAGGGAGGGUACAUCACCUGCAAGAACUACCCCGGCCAGAAGCUCAACGGGUGCGCCUGCAUGUGCGCGCCCGAGGACGGCAAGGGCUGCGUGCUCCACCUCGAUAGUGGCUCCACCAACAAAUGCACCAAGUACUGA
This 144-nucleotide ribosomal RNA is filed under the name Triticum aestivum (bread wheat). RNAcentral's name for it is "partial small subunit ribosomal RNA". Lineage: Eukaryota; Viridiplantae; Streptophyta; Magnoliopsida; Poales; Poaceae. The record is from RNAcentral.